GCAUGGCUUAUAUACAUUAACCAAAAUAUUCUUCGGCCACUGGUCUAUUCUUUACAUGCCAUAAAAUAAUUCAAAACAUAACAAUAACAAGCAGUGGAUAGUGAUAGUGUGACUAGUUGCUGACGAUCCCCGAGCCUGUAGCUUCCAAAUGAGAUCUAUAAAACAGAGGAAACAAAGUAAACGGAGUAAGCAUUACAAUGCUUAGUAAGUUU
Molecule: long non-coding RNA, 212 nt
Filed under: Gossypium barbadense (sea-island cotton)
Lineage: Eukaryota; Viridiplantae; Streptophyta; Magnoliopsida; Malvales; Malvaceae
Description: long non-coding RNA (GBAR_LNC008347)
Source: RNAcentral